CCUACGGGAGGCUGCAGUGAGGAAUAUUGGUCAAUGGACGAGAGUCUGAACCAGCCAAGUAGCGUGAAGGAUGACUGCCCUAUGGGUUGUAAACUUCUUUUAUAUGGGAAUAAAAUGUUCCACGUGUGGGAUUUUGUAUGUACCAUAUGAAUAAGGAUCGGCUAACUCCGUGCCAGCAGCCGCGGUAAUACGGAGGAUCCGAGCGUUAUCCGGAUUUAUUGGGUUUAAAGGGAGCGUAGGUGGAUUGUUAAGUCAGUUGUGAAAGUUUGCGGCUCAACCGUAAAAUUGCAUUUGAUACUGGCAGUCUUGAGUACAGUAGAGGUGGGCGGAAUUCGUGGUGUAGCGGUGAAAUGCUUAGAUAUCACGAAGAACUCCGAUUGCGAAGGCAGUUCACUGGACUGCAACUGACACUGAGGCUCGAAAGUGUAGGUAUCAAACAGGAUUAGAUACCCGGGUAGUC
This 460-nucleotide ribosomal RNA is filed under the name uncultured bacterium. RNAcentral describes it as "partial 16S ribosomal RNA". It matches the Rfam family "Bacterial small subunit ribosomal RNA", at positions 338 to 795 of the family's 1533-position model. The record is from RNAcentral.